AAGUAAAAAAUUAUUAAUUAUAAUAUUUUUUUUUGUUAGUUAAUAUAAAUAAAUUUAAGUUUAUGUUUUUUUGUAUAGUUUAUAGAUUAAAUAAUUUUUAUUAUAGUAGAUUAGUAUUGUGGAAGAAAUUUGAAAAAUUGUUUAUUUAUUUAAAAGUAAAAUUUAAUUUUUGUACCUUUUGUAUCAGGGUUUAUUAAUUAAGAAUUAAUGAUUUAAUAUUCUCGAAUUAAAAGGAGCUAAUAAAUUAUGAUAGUUUUUGUUUUAUAACAAUUAUUAAUUAUUUAUUAGUAAUGAAAUGUUAUUCGUCUUUUAAGAUAUCUAGUUUUUUAAGAAAUAAAUUUAAUUUAUAUAUUAUUUAGAUAAUUAUUUUAUUUAAUAAUUAAUUAUUAUUUAAUAUAAAUAUAUUAAGGGAUAAGCUUUAAUAUAUUAAUUAUAAUUUUUUUAUUAUAUUAUUAAUUGUAGAUUUAGAAAUGGUUAACAAUAAAGAUUUUGUAUUAAUUUAUAAGAAUAAUUUAUAAUAUUUUUAAAAAUUUAAUUUUAAUAUUAAAAUGUAGAUUUGAAUAAUAAAAAUUUAGUAAUAAUGAUGAAAUUAGUAUAUGUAAAAGUUUAAAUAAAAGAAUUUAUUAAGAUUAAUUUAAGGAAUUCGGCAAAAAUAAUAUUCACCUGUUUAACAAAAACAUGUCUUUUAGAUAAUAAUUUAAAGUCUGGCCUGCCCACUGAAUAUAAUUUAAAGGGCCGCGGUAUUUUGACUGUGCAAAGGUAGCAUAAUCAUUAGUCUUUUAAUUGAAGGCUUGUAUGAAUGGUUGGAUGAAAUAUUAACUGUCUCAAAUUAAUAAGAUAGAAUUUAAUUUUUAAGUUAAAAAGCUUAAAUGUUAUUAGAGGACGAGAAGACCCUAUAGAUUUUUAUAAUUUUUUAUUUAUAAAUAAUUUGGUUGAUAGAAGUUUUUAGGUAAGGAAUUAUUUUAUUGGGGUGAUAAAUAAAUUUAAUAAACUUUAUAAAAUAUAAACAUUAAUGUAUGAAUUAUUGAUCCAUUUUUAGUGAUUAUAAGAUUAAAUUACCUUAGGGAUAACAGCGUAAUUUUUUUAGAGAGUUCAUAUCGAUAAAAAAGUUUGCGACCUCGAUGUUGAAUUAAAGAUUAAUUUAGGUGUAGAAGUUUAAGUUUUUGGUCUGUUCGACCAUUGAAUCUUUACAUGAUUUGAGUUCAAACCGGCGUAAGCCAGGUUGGUUUCUAUCCUUAAUAAGUUAAAAUAUUUUAGUACGAAAGGACCAAAUAUUUAAAAAAGUUUUUAUAGAUAAGAAUAAUAUUAAUU
This 1311-nucleotide ribosomal RNA is filed under the name Corydalus cornutus (eastern dobsonfly). RNAcentral's name for it is "16S ribosomal RNA". The stretch from base 1066 to 1224 matches the Rfam family "Archaeal large subunit ribosomal RNA", at positions 2544 to 2703 of the family's 2987-position model. Lineage: Eukaryota; Metazoa; Arthropoda; Insecta; Megaloptera; Corydalidae. The record is from RNAcentral.